This 267-nucleotide small RNA is filed under the name Arabidopsis thaliana (thale cress). RNAcentral's name for it is "ATSL294160". The record is from RNAcentral. Lineage: Eukaryota; Viridiplantae; Streptophyta; Magnoliopsida; Brassicales; Brassicaceae.
AUGAAAUUUAAUUAAUUAAAUUAGUAUUUGACUUUUUAAUUUUUAAAGAGAUGAAUUACUUUACUCUUUAAAUUUUAUUUCUAAUGGCAUACAUAUGUAAUUACUUACAAAAAGUAAGGUUACAUUUAAAAUGUACUUCCCAAAUAAUAUAGUAGGAUCAUGGUAAAAUGUUAGUUCUCGAAAGAAAAAAUAUUGUUAUAAAUCAUAAACCUAACGAGCUAACUAAAAUAGCGGCAUCCUACCAAUUUGAGAUUUUUCGUAUAUAUA